This 169-nucleotide ribosomal RNA is filed under the name uncultured bacterium. Its description in RNAcentral is "partial 16S rRNA". It matches the Rfam family "Bacterial small subunit ribosomal RNA", at positions 338 to 524 of the family's 1533-position model. The record is from RNAcentral.
CCUACGGGAGGCAGCAGUGGGGAAUAUUGGACAAUGGGGGAAACCCUGAUCCAGCAAUGCCGCGUGGGUGAUGAAGGCCUUCGGGUUGUAAAGCCCUUUUGGCGGGGACGAUGAUGACGGUACCCGCAGAAUAAGCCCCGGCUAACUUCGUGCCAGCAGCCGCGGUAAU